UACGAAGGGGGCAAGCGUUGUUCGGAAUUACUGGGCGUAAAGAGUACGUAGGCGGUUUAGUAAGUUAGAUGUGAAAUCCCAGGGCUUAACCUUGGAACUGCAUUUAAUACUGCUAGACUAGAAUCCGAGAGGGGAUAGUGGAAUUUCUAGUGUAGAGGUGAAAUGCGUAGAUAUUCGGAGGAACACCAAUUGCGAAGGCAGUUCACUGGACCGUGAUCGACGCUGAGGAGCGAAAGCUAGGGGAGCAAACAGG
Molecule: ribosomal RNA, 253 nt
Filed under: uncultured bacterium
Lineage: Bacteria
Description: partial 16S ribosomal RNA
Rfam family: Bacterial small subunit ribosomal RNA
Source: RNAcentral